This 666-nucleotide ribosomal RNA is filed under the name Plectorhinchus sordidus (sordid rubberlip). RNAcentral's name for it is "partial 12S ribosomal RNA". It matches the Rfam family "Bacterial small subunit ribosomal RNA", at positions 513 to 1491 of the family's 1533-position model. The record is from RNAcentral. Lineage: Eukaryota; Metazoa; Chordata; Actinopteri; Lutjaniformes; Haemulidae.
CACCGCGGUUAUACGAGAGGCCCAAGUUGAUAAGCACCGGCGUAAGAGUGGUUAAGACAAACACAAAACUAAAGCCGAACACCCUCCCAGCUGUCAUACGUAGACACGAGGGCUAGAAGUUCAACUACGAAAGUGGCUUUACAUUAUCUGAACCCACGAAAGCUACGGUACAAACUGGGAUUAGAUACCCCAUUAUGCCUAGCCCUAAAUAUCGAUAGAAAACUACACCCACUAUCCGCCCGGGUACUACGAGCAUCAGCUUAAAACCCAAAGGACUUGGCGGUGCUUUAGAUCCACCUAGAGGAGCCUGUUCUAGAACCGAUAACCCCCGUUCAACCUCACCCUUCCUUGUUUUUCCCGCCUAUAUACCACCGUCGUCAGCUUACCCUGUGAAGGCCUUACAGUAAGCAAAAUUGGCACGCCCUAAAACGUCAGGUCGAGGUGUAGCACAUGGAAGGGGAAGAAAUGGGCUACAUUCACUGUAUCAGUGAAUACGGACGGUGCACUGAAAAGUGCACCCGAAGGAGGAUUUAGCAGUAAGUAGGAAGCAGAGUGUCCUACUGAAAAUGGCCCUGAAGCGCGCACACACCGCCCGUCACUCUCCCCAAGCCCCCUCAACCCCUAAUAAUUAAAACCUAUGCUCGCAAUAGGGGAGGCAAGUCGUAA